GACGAACGCUGGCGGCGUGCUUAACACAUGCAAGUCGAACGCUGAACCCGCUUCGGUGGGGGAUGAGUGGCGAACGGGUGAGUAACACGUGGGCAACCUGCCCCCGGCUCUGGGAUAACUCCAAGAAAUUGGGGCUAAUACCGGAUGUGACCGCUGGCCGCAUGGCCUGGUGGUGGAAAGGGUUUCCGGCUGGGGAUGGGCCCGCGGCCUAUCAGCUUGUUGGUGGGGUAGUGGCCUACCAAGGCGACGACGGGUAGCCGGCCUGAGAGGGUGACCGGCCACACUGGGACUGAGACACGGCCCAGACUCCUACGGGAGGCAGCAGUGGGGAAUAUUGCGCAAUGGGCGGAAGCCUGACGCAGCGACGCCGCGUGGGGGAUGACGGCCUUCGGGUUGUAAACCUCUUUCAGCAGGGACGAAGCGCAAGUGACGGUACCUGCAGAAGAAGCACCGGCCAACUACGUG
RNAcentral lists this ribosomal RNA (465 nucleotides) under uncultured bacterium. RNAcentral's name for it is "partial 16S ribosomal RNA". It matches the Rfam family "Bacterial small subunit ribosomal RNA", at positions 28 to 507 of the family's 1533-position model. The record is from RNAcentral.